CUUUUUUUUCUUUCUUUCUUUUUCUAAAUUACUACCACUUGGUUCAAGGACAAUAGAUCACGUCUGUCAAGUUUGAAAUGGAUUGGAUUCUUUUUGCUCUUGUCAAAUCUAAGAUCUGUGAGUUAAACCUGCUUCGCGGAGAACAUGACCCUGUGCUGGUCACGUUGCAGUCUCCCCGUGGAAAGCAAGCACCACAGUGCUUUGCUCUGCGGGAUUCCAGAGCUGUGAGUCAACAUACUUAUCCCCUGGUUUGGGGCAAAACAUCUGAAACACAAGUGGAAACCAAAAGGUUUUAUGCAACACAAGACAUGCGUGGCUAUCGGAUGUUACAACGUAAAGAAUUUCACACCAUCCUCGAGGGCUGUGCGGGUAGAAAGAGUUGGGCAGCUUCACCCGAAGUGAAAGUCUCUCUGGGAAUGUGAAGAAUGCUGUGGCAAAUACAGGAGAGCACACAAGAGAAGGCUGUAAUGAUGGUGUCGACCCACCACAAGUGCCAGACAAAACUGACCGAUCACAGUCAAAACUGCUACCAUACUGCACAGCACAUGCCAAAAAUGGAAUUGUUACUGAACUCACUGAAGUCUCUGUGGCAUCUGGCCAUUGUGCCUUGCUUGCUGGAGCCCUGGGUGGCUUGGUCCCUUGCCUUCUUUUGCUCUGAGCUCCCCAUAAAGUUAAUAAUAUUUUGAGUUAUUUCAUCCCUAGAUGACAGUAGCACACCUGAACACGGUACAGUCUGCUGCCAAAAUUUAGCCAGCAGGCUGAGCAAACAGGAAGUUUGUUUGGAGGGAAAGUCUUAAAGAGCACAUGGUAUUUUUUCACAUUCACUCAAGUUGGAGUACAUUUGUGUAUUUGUGUAUAUGUGGAGUUUUUAACAUCCUUUCUAUGUGUCAUGAUAGCUGGUGAGAUGGCAGAUGUAUUAGCUAAUUACAUUAAUCUUUUUACCAUAUGGGUGUGUAUGGGUGUGUGUACCCCCCAAAUAUACAAGUAUUGUUUGUCAUUUAACAUUUUUAAAAGACAGGAACUGUUUUGAGUAUAAUAAUUUAAAUAUAGUUCUUAUAGAAUUGCUGGAAACUAGGCUUCUAGAUGAACGUUAGGCCAGACCAGACCAGACCAGGGUGACUGCCCUCUGUUACUCAGGAAGACUGGAGUCAGGAAGAGAGCAGCCACAUCCUUCCUGCUCCAUUGGCCUCUUUUCCUGUCCAGUCCAAAGCUCUAGCUUCCACUCCUACUGGGGGUUCAGGGCUUUUCUGAGAACUGCUAGAUACAGCCAGCAAGACACAUCCUGCCCCGUGAAUGUCUAAUUGCCAAAGUGUAACUUGUAUCUAAACAAAAAUUAGGUUUUGUUUAAAUAAUUGACACAUAAUGAAAAUGAUGCCUGGGUAUAGAGAAGCGUGGUAGUUCUGUGUGACGAGUUGAGUCACGAUCAAUGCGAGAGAAUUAGCAUUCCCUUUUCCUUAAAUGUGUGUCA
Long non-coding RNA from Mus musculus (house mouse), 1468 nucleotides. RefSeq annotates it as predicted gene, 36377. NCBI's taxonomy places the organism in Eukaryota, Metazoa, Chordata, Mammalia, Rodentia, Muridae. The transcript is spliced from 3 exons. The record is from RefSeq and is a predicted model, not a curated record.